GAACGGGUGAGUAACACGUGGGUGAUCUGCCCUGCACUUUGGGAUAAGCCUGGGAAACUGGGUCUAAUACCGAAUAGGACCACGCGCUUCAUGGUGUGUGGUGGAAAGCUUUUGCGGUGUGGGAUGGGCCCGCGGCCUAUCAGCUUGUUGGUGGGGUAAUGGCCUACCAAGGCGACGACGGGUAGCCGGCCUGAGAGGGUGACCGGCCACACUGGGACUGAGAUACGGCCCAGACUCCUACGGGAGGCAGCAGUGGGGAAUAUUGCACAAUGGGCGCAAGCCUGAUGCAGCGACGCCGCGUGAGGGAUGACGGCCUUCGGGUCGUAAACCUCUUUCAAUAGGGACGAAGCGCAAGUGACGGUACCUGUAGAAGAAGCACCGGCCAACUACGUGCCAGCAGCCGCGGUAAUACGUAGGGUGCGAGCGUUGUCCGGAAUUACUGGGCGUAAAGAGCUCGUAGGUGGUUUGUCGCGUUGUUCGUGAAAACUCACAGCUUAACUGUGGGCGUGCGGGCGAUACGGGCAGACUAGAGUACUGCAGGGGAGACUGGAAUUCCUGGUGUAGCGGUGGAAUGCGCAGAUAUCAGGAGGAACACCGGUGGCGAAGGCGGGUCUCUGGGCAGUAACUGACGCUGAGGAGCGAAAGCGUGGGGAGCGAACAGGAUUAGAUACCCUGGUAGUCCACGCCGUANACGGUGGGUACUAGGUGUGGGUUCCUUCCUUGGGAUCCGUGCCGUAGCUAACGCAUUAAGUACCCCGCCUGGGGAGUACGGCCGCAAGGCUAAAACUCAAAGGAAUUGACGGGGGCNNNCA
Molecule: ribosomal RNA, 812 nt
Filed under: uncultured bacterium
Lineage: Bacteria
Description: bacterial SSU rRNA
Rfam family: Bacterial small subunit ribosomal RNA
Source: RNAcentral